GGCGUGUGUGGAUGCUGCUAAUGCGGCGGAGCCUGGGGCCUAACCAAACCGGUUAACGUUACCGGGGAACUCAAGAAACGAGGACGUGCGGUGCUGGGCAUUAUGAGCCUUACCUUCAACGGCCGGCUCCCGGAUCACUGCUGUAUCUCAUGUCAGGGUGUUUGUUCGCGUGAAACCAAGGAAUGAAGUGCUGCAACCAUGAUGCAAGGACUGAAAAAGCGUACCCGAAAGGCCUUCGGGAUACGAAAAAAAGAAAAGGACAGUGACUCCACUGGAUCACCAGACAAGGAAAAAUCAAAAAAAACUAAUGGGGCUCCUAAUGGCUUCUAUGGUGAGAUUGACUGGGAUCGAUAUAACUCUCCUGAUGUGGAUGAUGAGGGGUACAGUGUUAAACCUGGAGAACAAGGGG
This 409-nucleotide long non-coding RNA is filed under the name Danio rerio (zebrafish). Its description in RNAcentral is "lncRNA si:dkey-24m12.2 (ENSDARG00000099630.2)". The record is from RNAcentral. Lineage: Eukaryota; Metazoa; Chordata; Actinopteri; Cypriniformes; Danionidae.